Molecule: ribosomal RNA, 216 nt
Filed under: Glomus sp.
Lineage: Eukaryota; Fungi; Glomeromycota; Glomeromycetes; Glomerales; Glomeraceae
Description: partial small subunit ribosomal RNA
Rfam family: Eukaryotic small subunit ribosomal RNA (bases 38-216)
Source: RNAcentral
GGAUCAAUAUGUCGGUCGUGCCAUCGGUACGUACUGGUAUCACUGGUUUCUCCUUUCUGACGAACCAUGAUGUCAUUAAUUUGGUGUUAUGGGAAGUUAGGACUGUUACUUUGAAAAAAUUAGAGUGUUUAAAGCAGGCAUUAGCUUGAAUACAUUAGCAUGGAAUAACGAAAUAGGACGUUCGAACCCAUUUUGUUGGUUCCUAGGAUCAACGUA